RNAcentral lists this ribosomal RNA (464 nucleotides) under uncultured bacterium. RNAcentral describes it as "bacterial SSU rRNA". It matches the Rfam family "Bacterial small subunit ribosomal RNA", at positions 330 to 792 of the family's 1533-position model. The record is from RNAcentral.
CCCAGACUCCUACGGGAGGCAGCAGUGAGGAAUAUUGGUCAAUGGCCGAGAGGCUGAACCAGCCAAGUCGCGUGAGGGAAGACGGCCCUACGGGUUGUAAACCUCUUUUGUCGGGGAGCAAAGCGAGUCACGUGUGACUCAUUGAGAGUACCCGAAGAAAAAGCAUCGGCUAACUCCGUGCCAGCAGCCGCGGUAAUACGGAGGAUGCGAGCGUUAUCCGGAUUUAUUGGGUUUAAAGGGUGCGCAGGCGGAAUGUCAAGUCGGCGGUAAAAUUGCGGGGCUCAACCUCGUCGAGCCGUUGAAACUGGGUGCCUUGAGUGGGCGAGAAGUACGCGGAAUGCGUGGUGUAGCGGUGAAAUGCAUAGAUAUCGCGCAGAACUCCGAUUGCGAAGGCAGCAUGCCGGCUCCACACUGACGCUGAGGCACGAAAGCGUGGGUAUCGAACAGGAUUAGAUACCCCCGUA